Molecule: ribosomal RNA, 499 nt
Filed under: uncultured bacterium
Lineage: Bacteria
Description: partial 16S ribosomal RNA
Rfam family: Bacterial small subunit ribosomal RNA
Source: RNAcentral
GACGAACGCUGGCGGCGUGCCUAAUACAUGCAAGUCGAGCGGACUUUCAAGAAGCUUGCUUUUUGAAAGUUAGCGGCGGACGGGUGAGUAACACGUGGGCAACCUGCCUGCAAGACGGGGAUAACUCCGGGAAACCGGGGCUAAUACCGGAUAAUAUCUUCCUUCGCAUGAAGGAAGGUUGAAAGGCGGCGCAAGCUGCCGCUUGCAGAUGGGCCCGCGGCGCAUUAGCUAGUUGGUGAGGUAACGGCUCACCAAGGCGACGAUGCGUAGCCGACCUGAGAGGGUGAACGGCCACACUGGGACUGAGACACGGCCCAGACUCCUACGGGAGGCAGCAGUAGGGAAUCUUCCGCAAUGGACGAAAGUCUGACGGAGCAACGCCGCGUGAGAGAAGAAGGUCUUCGGAUCGUAAAGCUCUGUUGUCAGGGAAGAACAAGUACCGUUCGAACAGGGCGGUACCUUGACGGUACCUGACCAGAAAGCCACGGCUAACUACGUG